RNAcentral lists this long non-coding RNA (1103 nucleotides) under Cricetulus griseus (Chinese hamster). RNAcentral's name for it is "lncRNA (ENSCGRG00015032248.1)". The record is from RNAcentral. Lineage: Eukaryota; Metazoa; Chordata; Mammalia; Rodentia; Cricetidae.
CUGGAUUUCUAGUUCCCGGUCUGACCUCUGAUCUAGCAAGAAGUCUUUGUCUAAGUUGGGCACUGGUUUUCUUGUGGUUAGCUUAGACUUUGCUGUAGCAGGAGGUUUCUGUUCUUCUGUUUGUUGUGGCUUGUUUUUCUAACUGCUGUGGACUGUACCUUUUCUUUCAACUGGUGUGGACUGUACCUGAGCCAAAGAAGUCUGCUGGAUUUGGGAGCCUUCAUCCAGUAGCUGAUGGAAGCAGAAGCUAAACACUGAGCUGAACCCUGGAACCCAGUUGCAGAGAGGGAAGAUUGAUGAGCAAAGGGGUCAAGACCAGGCUGGAGAAACCCACAGAAACAGCUGAUCUGUACAAGGGAUUGCUCAUGGACCCCAGACUGAUAGCUGGGAAAUCAGCAUAGGACUGUUCCAGACCCCCUGAAUGAGGAUGUCAGUUUGGAGGUCUGGUUAAUCUAUGGGGCCUCUGGUAGUGGAUCAGCAUUCCUAGUACAUGAAUGGACUUUGGGAACCCACUCCACAUAGAGGGAUGCUUUCUCAGCCUAGACACACGGGGGAUGGUUUAUGCCCUACUUCAAAGGAUAUGACAGACUUUGAGGAUUCCCCAUGGAAGAUAGGGGUGUGGAGAGCUGCAAUGCGCCAUGCCAGAAGAUGGCGCCGGUUUCUGCCUUCCACCAUCCCAAGGGUCUUCUCUGUGGUCAAGAAGCCAGGUGGGAGCAUCCAUAAGUCAUGUGCUGUCAUGGGGCUGCGUCAUUUUUAUUGGCAUUCCCUGGAGGUAUUUACAGUUCACCAACACUGAAAGUGGGAUUUCCAAGAGACACAUUUGAUGAGGAAUUGUUCUGAAAGAAUGGACUUGAAACAGACUCAGAAAGGAAAGUAAGACAAUUCCUUAUUUAAUAUCAGAGUACAUUGAAGCUGGUGGAGAUUGGAUGCAAAUGAGGAUCAUCCACAGGCAAACAAAAGGGAUGUGAGAUGUCAGUGUGAGCUCAUCAUAGACAUGGUUGCUCCACAGGGGCCAAGGAUCUCACAGCAUCCCAAGGAGGAUGGGUGGACUCACCAAUAAACACCAGAACAUUAUUGUUCAUUGUUUGUUCAUUUUAUUGCAU